Molecule: ribosomal RNA, 369 nt
Filed under: Triticum aestivum (bread wheat)
Lineage: Eukaryota; Viridiplantae; Streptophyta; Magnoliopsida; Poales; Poaceae
Description: partial small subunit ribosomal RNA
Source: RNAcentral
AUGUCGAGUUCCACUUCAGCCUCCCACCCCUCGUGGACCCAGUAUGGUCCACUUCCCAUGGAGCGAUGUACUGACUGCCCAUGCAGCGCACCACUGAUACGAUUGACUUUGAAGGAGGUGAAGAAUGGCAAAUAUGGGAGCGAGUUCGUGAAAUGCGAGAGCAAGCCAGAGGGGCAGAUCGUGAAGAAAUGCACACAUUUUGAAUGGCUGGAUGACUACGUUAAGCGGAUUCAAUUCAAUGGGGCCCCAACCCGGGAGCUCAAUCUGCCGUCGGCGACAACGAAUUUGGUCUCUGAAAGUGCUGCUCUGAUAGUUGGGGAUGCAGAUCUGAAGGGGGAAUUAAAGAAGAUGAACAAGAACUUGAAGUAG